UGUUCUAUGGCCAAACUGGUAAAGGCACUGCCGAUCACAAGCAAGGUUGCGGGUUCGAGUCCCGCUGGAACGG
Molecule: transfer RNA, 73 nt
Organism: Operophtera brumata (winter moth)
Lineage: Eukaryota; Metazoa; Arthropoda; Insecta; Lepidoptera; Geometridae
Rfam family: tRNA
About the family: Transfer RNA (tRNA) molecules are approximately 80 nucleotides in length. Their secondary structure includes four short double-helical elements and three loops (D, anti-codon, and T loops).
Source: Rfam